This 774-nucleotide ribosomal RNA is filed under the name Marinilabiliales bacterium. RNAcentral's name for it is "bacterial SSU rRNA". It matches the Rfam family "Bacterial small subunit ribosomal RNA", at positions 1 to 767 of the family's 1533-position model. The record is from RNAcentral. Lineage: Bacteria; Pseudomonadati; Bacteroidota; Bacteroidia; Marinilabiliales.
UUUACAACGAAGAGUUUGAUCCUGGCUCAGGAUGAACGCUAGCGGCAGGCCUAACACAUGCAAGUCGAACGGUAACAGGGGUAGCAAUACCUGCUGACGAGUGGCGCACGGGUGAGUAACGCGUAUGCAACCUGCCCUGUACUGGGGGAUAGCUCGGAGAAAUCCGGAUUAAUACCCCAUAAUAUUAUUUACAGGCAUCUGUUUAUGAUUAAAGUUUCGGCGGUACAGGAUGGGCAUGCGUGCCAUUAGUUAGUUGGUGAGGUAACGGCUCACCAAGACGAUGAUGGCUAGGGGGUCUGAGAGGAUGAUCCCCCACACUGGUACUGAGACACGGACCAGACUCCUACGGGAGGCAGCAGUGAGGAAUAUUGGUCAAUGGACGCAAGUCUGAACCAGCCAUGCCGCGUGCAGGAUGACGGCCCUAGUGGUUGUAAACUGCUUUUGUAUGGGAAGAAACCCCUGAUCGUGAUCGGGGCUGACUGUACUGUACGAAUAAGCAUCGGCUAACUCCGUGCCAGCAGCCGCGGUAAUACGGAGGAUGCAAGCGUUAUCCGGAUUUAUUGGGUUUAAAGGGUGCGUAGGCGGGGUAGCAAGUCAGUGGUGAAAGUCUGCAGCUUAACUGUAGAAUUGCCGUUGAUACUGUUACUCUUGAAUUCAGUUGAGGUAGGCGGAAUGUGUAAUGUAGCGGUGAAAUGCAUAGAUAUUACACAGAACACCGAUUGCGUAGGCAGCUUGCUAAACUGAGAUUGACGCUGAGGCACGAAAGCGUGGGGA